Hyla sarda is the source of this 526-nucleotide long non-coding RNA. RefSeq lists it as uncharacterized. The transcript is spliced from 3 exons. The record is from RefSeq and is a predicted model, not a curated record. NCBI's taxonomy places the organism in Eukaryota, Metazoa, Chordata, Amphibia, Anura, Hylidae.
UACAGUCAGCUGUAUUAUGGCGCUUUAUUAGAUGUAGUGAGCUGAAAUGCCCACUCAUGUAGCCAUCCUAUACUUCCAUAUGCUUCUGAAUUUAUAUAGAGAUAUAUUGAGGUUCUUUCUAUCACCGUCAUAUAAGGGCACAUUUAUCAAGAUUUGGAUGCUGGGAGACAGAAAAUAGGGAGGUUGCACAUUGGUACUCUACUCCCAUGAGGUACAUGAGGAAACAGAAGAGGAGUGAAUUGAGAAUAACAGUGAACACAUGGAUAAUAUUAAUAAGAAGAAUAGAAGAUUGCCUUGAAAUGUGAAAAUGAAAGUCAACAUCAAGAACGAUUAAUGCAGAUGGCAACUGGAUGACCAUAGUAGUGUUCUCAUUUAUACCAUUUAGUUACAUAUAGUUACACAGUUAAUAAGGUUGAAUAUAAGUUCAACCUAAAAUCCUUCUGUGUUGAUCCCAAGGAAGGCACAAACCCAACAUCUGGUACCAAUUUCCCCAUAACAGAGGAAAAAUCCCUUCCCAGCCUCCAAU